Molecule: non-coding RNA, 429 nt
Organism: Paramuricea clavata
Lineage: Eukaryota; Metazoa; Cnidaria; Anthozoa; Malacalcyonacea; Plexauridae
Source: the annotation of a GenBank genome assembly
CAUUUCAGGUUGUUUUGGAUCGUAAGUCCCAGUACUUUAUGUGAACGCACUGUCUCAAUUGGGUGUCCAUCGAUUAACAGAGGCAUUAAUUGGGGGGUUUCUCCAAGGAAACUAACACGAAGCUCUUUGCAUUUUUUGAUAUUAAGUUUCAUCCAAUUAUCGGAAGCCCACAACUGAACUGAAUUAAGGGUUGAUUGAGUGAUAGAGGUGCAAUUUCUGCUAAGACUCUCAGAGGUUGAAACGUCGUCUACGUAUUUCCACAUUCUGAUGUCGGGAGAAGUGAUUCGCAGGUUAUUGACCAUUACUAGGCACAAGAUUGGACCUAGUUUUGUCCCCUGAGGAACACCUGCAUUCACUGGAAGCCAGUCAGAGGUUUCUCCGUCAAAUUUAACACGCUGCCUUCGAUUUGAGAGGAAGUUGAUGAUCCAA